UUGUUUACUUUAAGUUUUUAUCAACUAUGUCCAGAAGAGUUUGAUAGUAACUUAGAACUAAUUCUAAUAACUAAAAUGCAAUAGUGAAUUUUAUGAUCAAAAUUACAUAGAAGGAUUAUCCAUUGUCACACCUCCUUUUUACUACCGGAUGGGUAUAUAAGAGAGUUUUUUUCCAAUUAAAGUGACAUUAUUCGAAAUGAGAUUAUUUUAUUUAUUUUUUUCAGAGUCGUCACUUGGAAUAAUUUAUGGUGUCCCAAGUCACCGAUUUAUUUUUAAAAUCCCAAAUCAAGGAAAAUCGACUUUAUUUAAAAGUAAGGAUCUACGAAACCAGAAAUUCUAAGUAAGGAAUUCUGUUAGCCCGAGCGAAGGUGUUAGGCAUUCCCGGGUUCCGUGGUUCGAGCACAGUCACUUAACUAUUAAUAUUGGCCUAAUUAUCUGAUUAGUUACAUGUUUUAAACCUAUUGUAUAUUUUUAACUUUAUAACCGCUUUUAAUUAUUUUUGACCGAUUUUAGAAUUUAUGGAAUUAUUUGUUGAACAAGUUACGAUUUGUCGUGCACUUGCCGUUUCGGGACACACCACAAACCACGCUACAUGAAAUGCACCCGUGAUUCGUGAUAUGUUUAUUUUUAUUAUUAUUCGAAGUUAUUAUGAUCGGGUCACAUGAAAUGCACACCCGAAUUGAGGAUUAUGUACCAUGACUAUGCCACGGGAACCUUACUCAUAUUCACGAUAGUUAUUUAAUCGCGCCUAAAGUAAACUACAAUAUUUAAAAUUAAAUUAUUUCCUAAGUUUGGGAUUUUUGUAAGGCCAAAAGUUUCUUUUAUAACGGUUCAAUUAGCCAAAAAUUGAAAAUAAAUUAACAAUACAAGAAAAGUAAGAUUCUAAAAAAAACUAUAAUACUACAAGACAAGAGAAAGUGAAUGGGGUGCAUAAAAGUGUGGCUACAUUACUGCCUUUGAUCACAUUUCCCAACUCUCUUUAAUUCAAUAUCCAAAAAUGCCUUAGUUUCUGCUCAUUAAACGUCUCACCAAAUGGAGGAAAACGAAGAACGAGGUAUGCUGAAACCAACAUGAAAAUCACCAGCAUGUAGCUUUUAAUGUUAUAUUUGUGAAAGAUAGAUACUUGAUAUGGCUAUUGCCAUCAAAAGCAAGUAUAUAUGUGUAGAGUCAUGUAAGAAAAAUAACAAAACUUAACACUCUGGCUAUUAACACACAUAACAAAGUAAAAUCUGGAGGAACCAAUAAUGAUGUUCGAGUAAGAUAAAAUUGCGCUAUAUUAUAGGAAACAUGGACAGGAAACUCAAAAGUGAUUUAUUAUCUAUUUCUUUCACCCAUGUCCUCUACACUGUGGUCAAAAAAUAACUCUCAAAGACGUCAUUUCCUAAUAACAAAAGGGAUCUUCCCUGUUUUCUCAAUAUAGAUAUAGUGGCAAAGUGCAUGUUACUCUUUUGAACCAGCAACGAGCAACAAAAGGGAAAGAACUAAAAAAAAUGAAAUCUCCAGUACUUUAUAUAGCUUAUUCAAACCAAAUUGGGCCAAAUUGAAAAUGCUAAAACCAGUGAAGAUGGACAAUAAACAUGGCAUAUUAACAAAACAAUUUCGAACUAAUCUAAAACAAGACAAAUAAAUAAUAAAAUCAGGAAAACGUGAUUUCAGACUGGAAAUGGAAACUUACGAUUGCUAACAAAAUUGAAUCAAUAGGAGUAGUAAAUAAUUAACUCAAUCUCCACUCACUUCAGUGUUCCAACAUUCUUCAUAUCAAAUAAAAUAGCAUAAGUUUCUAAACAUUCUUUUACAAAACAAGGUAAACAACAACCAAUAAUUCCAUAAAACAACAAAUCUGAGAACCAUUUUUAUGAAGAACAUACCUCAUCGCGUGCAAGGUUCAAUUUUAGAAGAGAAGAAAGACACAUAAAGUUGGAAUCGCCAUGCUCGAAGAUCGGCAACAGAAGAAUCAACAAAUACAACAACAAACAACACUUUUACCGCUCCAAUACCACUCGAAAUUCAAGAAAAUUGAAGUAAAAGAGCAGAACUUCGAAUAGCUUUCAAGUCUUCCUUUGUUUUCUGUUUUGGUUUUGUUUUUGAAACUCUUUUUGAAUUUUCAGAGCUAGACUUGUUUUCUUUUCUAAGGGGGUCUCAUCUUCAAUUUUUUUGAGGAUGGAAGAAAAUGACCGCCGUUCUUCUUGGAAAGGGGGGGGGGUCUUCUUUUUUGCGGCAAUUUGGAUGGUUUGACGAAAAGAUGAAGAAGAAACAAGGAAGGGGAGGUGCGCUAUUGGUUCCUUCAAGUUUCUGGGGUUCUGAUUUUUUGUAGUGAAGAAGGGAAAAGCUGCGCUUAGCUGAAGGGGAGGGACUCUGAUGCUGUCCUCUAGGGUUAAAGGAAUACAGGGGGUUUUAA
This 2398-nucleotide long non-coding RNA is filed under the name Nicotiana tabacum (common tobacco). RNAcentral's name for it is "long non-coding RNA (NTAB_LNC017784)". The record is from RNAcentral. Lineage: Eukaryota; Viridiplantae; Streptophyta; Magnoliopsida; Solanales; Solanaceae.